RNAcentral lists this ribosomal RNA (403 nucleotides) under uncultured bacterium. Its description in RNAcentral is "bacterial SSU rRNA". It matches the Rfam family "Bacterial small subunit ribosomal RNA", at positions 29 to 424 of the family's 1533-position model. The record is from RNAcentral.
AACGAACGCUGGCGGCGCGCCUAACACAUGCAAGUCGAACGAGAAUCCGGGGCAACCCGGUAGUAAAGUGGCAAACGGGUGAGGAAUACAUGGGUAACCUACCCUUGAGAAGGGAAUAACCCGCCGAAAGGUGAGCUAAUACCCUAUACGCUAUCUUUUUUUCGAAAAGGAUAGGAAAGCCGGGUCGAGGACCUGGUACUCAAGGAGGGGCUCAUGUCCUAUCAGCUUGUUGGUGGGGUAACGGCCUACCAAGGCUACGACGGGUAGCUGGUCUGAGAGGAUGAUCAGCCACACUGGCACUGAGAUACGGGCCAGACUCCUACGGGAGGCAGCAGUGAGGAAUCUUGCGCGAAUGGGCAAAGCCUGACGCAGCGACGCCGCGUGGGUGAUGAAGGCCUCGGUU